GGUUGUUGUGCAGAGCAAAGGGUGGACGGCGAGUGCGGCACGGACGGUAGUAAGGCAGAGCCAUGGCAGGUGCUUUGUAAGGAGAGAGGGAGGCGGCCAUGGCAGCGGGGCGGAACGGGUGUAGGGUCCACAAUGGAUGGUGUGGAGGACGGCAAUGGGAUGGGGUCACAGAUGCUGCACCGGAGAGGGGUGGGUGCGGAUCGGCCGUCGGUAGAGGA
RNAcentral lists this long non-coding RNA (218 nucleotides) under Elaeis guineensis (African oil palm). RNAcentral's name for it is "long non-coding RNA (EGUI_LNC036293)". The record is from RNAcentral. Lineage: Eukaryota; Viridiplantae; Streptophyta; Magnoliopsida; Arecales; Arecaceae.